AACUGAUAUUUCUAUUGUGCAUGCAUUUCCCAGGUUCAUGUCUCAAGUAUAAAAAAAGAAAAUGUGCUACUCAAUCCAAAAAGUCUACUGCCCGCCAUUCCCAGUCUGUCAGACGUCGCAAAAUCACCAUGUGGCCAAGGAAGAGGAAGGGCCGUCAAAUGUCCCCAAGCAACUCUUCUUCUUUGGAAGCUCCCCUGGAAGACCUGGUGGAGGACCCUCUUCGUGACAGGGAGGAUGAAGUGGUUCCACCUAAUGUUGAGGUAAGGUCAUCUGUUUUGGUCUAAGAUAGAAAUACUCCUUUCUCCU
This is a long non-coding RNA of Dasypus novemcinctus (nine-banded armadillo), 306 nucleotides long. The record is from Ensembl. NCBI's taxonomy places the organism in Eukaryota, Metazoa, Chordata, Mammalia, Cingulata, Dasypodidae.